Molecule: transfer RNA, 65 nt
Filed under: Cordylochernes scorpioides
Lineage: Eukaryota; Metazoa; Arthropoda; Arachnida; Pseudoscorpiones; Chernetidae
Description: tRNA-Thr
Rfam family: tRNA
About the family: Transfer RNA (tRNA) molecules are approximately 80 nucleotides in length. Their secondary structure includes four short double-helical elements and three loops (D, anti-codon, and T loops).
Source: RNAcentral
GGUAGCCUAGUGGACAUGGCAUCUGCCCGGUAAGCGGAACACUGUGGGUUCGUUUCCCAUUACCA